AUGGCCAAGCAUGGGGCCCGCAGCCGAGCGCGGGCCCUCACCCGCUGCCCAGCAGACAGUGACGGAGCUCGGAAGCGGAUGCAGAAAUCUCGGGUGAAACAGCCGGGAGAGACACAGAGGAAAGGCCCAGAAAGAGGGACAGCUGGCAGGAGGGCACGAGAGACACUUCUCACGCCCCCUUUCUCUUUUGUCCUCUCUCUCGGGUCCUCAGGGAGACCGUCUGCCCCGACUCUCUUCCCCCUGGUCUCCUGCGGGAACCCCCUGUCUGAUGAGAACCCGGUGGCCCUGGGCUGCCUGGCCCGGGACUUCUUGCCCAGCUCCAUCAGCUUCUCCUGGAGCUACAGCAACAGCGUCAGUGUCAGCAGCCAGAACAUCCACAGCUUCCCGGCCGUCCUGCGGGAGGGCAAGUACGCGGCCUCCUCCCAGGUGCUCCUGCCUUUCUCAAGCAUCCCCCAGGACUCCGAAGAGCACCUGCUGUGCAGAGUCGAGCACCCCAACGGCGACAAAUCCGUGGCAGUGCCUUUCCCAGCAUCGAAGCGGACUCCAAACCACUUGGUGUCCUCUGUGGCAUCCCAGCCAGAGGGCUUCACCCUAACCACUCCGAGGAUCUCAGUGCUGUCCACCAGUCGCACCCAGACAGAAGCCCGGAUGCCAGAAAAUCCAAAGGACCCCUGCAGAGAGUGCCGGAACCACACCCAGCCCCCCAGGGUCUACCUGCUGCACCCUCCCCUGCAGGGCCUGUGGCUCCAGGGUCAGGCCACCUUCACCUGCCUGGCGGUGGGAGGCGACCUGCAGGCGGCCCGCUUGUCCUGGGAGGUGGCCGGGCAGCCCCAGAGCAGGCACACGGAGGAGGGGCCCAAAGAGCACACCAACGGGUCCUGGAGCUGGAGCAGCCACCUGGCCCUGUCUAGGGCCUUGUGGGCCAGUGGGACGCCUGUCACCUGCACGCUGAGUGGCCCUGGCCUGCAGUCCCCAGUGACUCUGGUGGCACAGAGAGAACACGAGGCCUUGGCGCCCAGCAAGCCUGCCGUCCGCAUCCUGACGGCACCCAGUCCACUGCACGCUGCCGAGGAGGCCACCUGGCUCCUGUGCGAGGUGUCCAGCUUCUCACCGCUGGGCGUCCUCCUCGCCUGGCUGGAGGGGCAGCGCGAGGUGGACCCUUCUUGGUCCGCCACGGCGCGCCCCGCAGCCCAGCCUGAGAACUCCUCGUUCCGCACCUGGAGCGUCCUGCGCGUCCCCGCCUUCCCGGGCCGUGUGGCUGCCACCUACACCUGUGUGGUCGGGCACGAGGCCUCCCGGACGCUGCUCAACACCAGCUGGAACCUGGACACUGGACUUUUGCUGAGUGAGCAGUGUCUGGGAGCAGAGCGAGGCAAGAGGUCUCCAGCCUUGGAUGAGGCUUAG
Molecule: non-coding RNA, 1404 nt
Organism: Lipotes vexillifer (Yangtze River dolphin)
Lineage: Eukaryota; Metazoa; Chordata; Mammalia; Artiodactyla; Lipotidae
Source: the annotation of a RefSeq genome assembly